RNAcentral lists this long non-coding RNA (374 nucleotides) under Androctonus crassicauda. Lineage: Eukaryota; Metazoa; Arthropoda; Arachnida; Scorpiones; Buthidae. The record is from RNAcentral.
UGCAUCACUUCAGUCUACAUUUAGGUUUAGUUUGUAAAAUCCUUUUAAUAAUGCUAUGGUAAGAUUUCCAUUUCUAAUAUCAUCCAUAUGUUCCUUUAAAUGACAUUUCAAACUUUUAGAAGUACUUCCUAUAUAAAACUUUCAUGCCUGUGUCUAUAUUGGCUGCCUAUGGUACAUGGGCACAGAAUAACUGAUCAGGUUAGUACUUUGUCAUUGCAUAUGGUGUCUGGUGUCUUUUGCAAAGUACCUUUUGAAUUAAGUUUGAUUUUAAGAUUCUGCAAAGUCAGAUCAUAUAAGAUUGGUUUCUAUAGUCUUAUUUCCUAGCAACAGAAUUUUGUAAUUGUAAAGAUAGUUUGUAAGAAUGAAACUUAGCU